CAAUAGCGUAUAUUAAAGUUGUUGCAGUUAAAAAGCUCGUAGUUGGAUUUCUGGUGGGAGCGAUCGGUCUGGCGCUUAGCGCGAGUACUUGCAUCGUCUCCGGCCAUCCUUGGGGAGAGUCUGUCUGGCAUUAAGUUGUCGGGCAGAGGAUCCUCAUCGUUUACUGUGAAAAAAUUAGAGUGUUCAAAGCAGGCUUAUGCCGUUGAAUAUAUUAGCAUGGAAUAAUAAGAUAGGACUUUGGUACUAUUUUGUUGGUUUGCGCACCAAAGUAAUGAUUAAUAGGGACAGUUGGGGGUAUUUGUAUUCCGUUGUCAGAGGUGAAAUUCUUGGAUUUACGGAAGACGAACUACUGCGAAAGCAUUUACCAAGGAUGUUUUCAUUAA
This 383-nucleotide ribosomal RNA is filed under the name uncultured eukaryote. RNAcentral describes it as "partial 18S ribosomal RNA". It matches the Rfam family "Eukaryotic small subunit ribosomal RNA", at positions 592 to 976 of the family's 1831-position model. The record is from RNAcentral.